This 264-nucleotide long non-coding RNA is filed under the name Linum usitatissimum (flax). RNAcentral describes it as "long non-coding RNA (LUSI_LNC000794)". Lineage: Eukaryota; Viridiplantae; Streptophyta; Magnoliopsida; Malpighiales; Linaceae. The record is from RNAcentral.
UCGCCGGGAAAUCUCAUCUCCCAAGUAAAGCGUCUCUCGGACACAAAAAGGCAGACACCAUAAAAAGCAAAAGUACGGUCUCUCUUAGCUGAAUCACUCUCCGACUGGCAUUCCUUUCUUGCUACCAGAGUCAUCACCUUUGCCCUGCUCUUCACCCAAAGGAUCGGAUCUCUCUGUCACAUGGCGGCUUCCUCCUCUUCUCUCUUUUAUACCCUUUCUUCUGACCUACUCCUUUCCUCCUUCUCGCCUCGCCAUGCCUUGUAC